CCUACGGGAGGCAGCAGUGGGGAAUAUUGGACAAUGGGGGAAACCCUGAUCCAGCAAUGCCGCGUGAGUGAAGAAGGCCUUAGGGUUGUAAAGCUCUUUCGGCGGGGAAGAUGGUGACGGUACCCGCAGAAGAAGCCCCGGCUAACUUCGUGCCAGCAGCCGCGGUAAUACGAAGGGGGCUAGCGUUGUUCGGAAUCACUGGGCGUAAAGGGCGCGUAGGCGGCUUGACAAGUCAGGUGUGAAAGCCCCGGGCUCAACCCGGGAAUUGCACUUGAUACUGUCUCGCUAGAGUCCGGGAGAGGAUGGCGGAAUUCCCAGUGUAGAGGUGAAAUUCGUAGAUAUUGGGAAGAACACCGGUGGCGAAGGCGGCCAUCUGGACCGGUACUGACGCUGAGGCGCGAAAGCGUGGGGAGCAAACAGGAUUAGAUACCCUGGUAGUC
RNAcentral lists this ribosomal RNA (440 nucleotides) under uncultured bacterium. RNAcentral describes it as "bacterial SSU rRNA". It matches the Rfam family "Bacterial small subunit ribosomal RNA", at positions 338 to 795 of the family's 1533-position model. The record is from RNAcentral.